UACAGAGGGUGCAAGCGUUGCUCGGAAUUAUUGGGCGUAAAGGGUAGGUAGGUGGUCUUAUUUGUCGGGGGUGAAAGCCCAGGGCUUAACCCUGGAAGUGCCCCGGAAACGGUGAGGCUGGAGUAUUGGAGAGGGGCGUGGAAUUCCCGGUGUAGCGGUGAAAUGCGUAGAGAUCGGGAGGAACACCAGAGGCGAAGGCGGCGACCUGGACAAUUACUGACGCUCAACUACGAAAGCGUGGGGAGCAAACAGG
This 253-nucleotide ribosomal RNA is filed under the name uncultured bacterium. Its description in RNAcentral is "partial 16S ribosomal RNA". It matches the Rfam family "Bacterial small subunit ribosomal RNA", at positions 524 to 776 of the family's 1533-position model. The record is from RNAcentral.